RNAcentral lists this transfer RNA (58 nucleotides) under Platynereis bicanaliculata. RNAcentral's name for it is "tRNA-Gln". The record is from RNAcentral. Lineage: Eukaryota; Metazoa; Annelida; Polychaeta; Phyllodocida; Nereididae.
UAAAGUGUAAUUUUGCACGUAGGAAUUUGAAUCCUAAAGUAGGCCCUCCUUAUUAUAG